GUUAUAACAUAAACAGCCCACACGGGAGAUUAAUUCCUAAUGCUUGCUUUGUCAGUGUUUGGGAAAUUCCUGGUUCGAUAGCACAUGUAACACAGACAGAGUUAUUAUAUUUCAUUUGCAGUCUGGCCUGUAGUCACAUGGAUCUAAGUGACCAAGUUAUUUGAAGUGGUGCACUCAUAUUAACUAUGCCUAUACUGCCUGCAAAGGAUGACCCCACUACUGAUCCAGGGGAUUUAUCCACUACAGGGUGAGCGACCAGACAUGGCUUGAGGUACAACCAGAGCACCAUUGCCAGCAUCUACAGGACCAUGUAUUCCUAAAAUACUCUUUUAGGACAAACUAAAAUUCUCUACUGGAUCCAAGGCUGGCUUUUCUGUGGUCCUUCCUGCAGUGUUUUAGGCUACUUGAAAUAGACAUUUCCACGUAGACUUUUCUCUCCUUGCAUGAUAUUGUGUGUCAUAGUGCAACAGAACUUUGAAAAGAUCUCAGGGACCCAUGAAUGGAUAUCAGAAGUUUAAAGCUGUGCUGUCAGUAGGCACACACACCGUGGUUUCAAGACAGAGAGGUCCACCCUUUUCAUCAAGGUCAGUCAAGUCAAUCAAGGGAGAAGAACGGAAAAACUGCAUAGCGAUUAGCAGAAGACGGUAUUAAGUGAUUGAUGGCAGAACUCCCAAAGGAUGCAUCAGGAGGAAACAGAUAAUGAUACGUUACUGCACGUUUGUUGAUUAUUUACUUGUACCACAUAUAAGACAACUAUAUAAAGGGUGAAUGAUUUCAUUACUCUUUGUAAUUAGAAUUUUACAGUUGUUCCUAGCUUGAUUUCUUCAUAGAACAUUCAUAAGGACAUUUUGGCAAAUUCAACCUACAGGGACAGAAAUUGAGCCUUAAUUUCAGCUUUAAUAGGGAUCAAUGAAAG
This 916-nucleotide long non-coding RNA is filed under the name Anas platyrhynchos platyrhynchos (common mallard). Its description in RNAcentral is "lncRNA (ENSAPLG00000018219.1)". Lineage: Eukaryota; Metazoa; Chordata; Aves; Anseriformes; Anatidae. The record is from RNAcentral.